CACGUAGGGGGCAAGCGUUGUCCGGAUUUAUUGGGCGUAAAGAGCUCGUAGGCGGCUUAGUAAGUCGGGUGUGAAACCUCCAGGCUCAACCUGGAGACGCCACCCGAUACUGCUGUGGCUAGAGUCCGGUAGGGGAGCGUGGAAUUCCUGGUGUAGCGGUGAAAUGCGCAGAUAUCGGGAGGAACACCUAUGGCGAAGGCAGCUCGCUGGGACGUUACUGACGCUGAGACGCGAAAGCGUGGGGAGCAAACAGG
This 254-nucleotide ribosomal RNA is filed under the name uncultured bacterium. Its description in RNAcentral is "partial 16S ribosomal RNA". It matches the Rfam family "Bacterial small subunit ribosomal RNA", at positions 524 to 776 of the family's 1533-position model. The record is from RNAcentral.